This 794-nucleotide ribosomal RNA is filed under the name uncultured organism. Its description in RNAcentral is "SSU rRNA". It matches the Rfam family "Bacterial small subunit ribosomal RNA", at positions 656 to 1464 of the family's 1533-position model. The record is from RNAcentral.
GGCAGGCGGAAUUCGUGGUGUAGCGGUGAAAUGCUUAGAUAUCACGAAGAACUCCGAUUGCGAAGGCAGCCUGCUAAGCUGCAACUGACAUUGAGGCUCGAAAGUGUGGGUAUCAAACAGGAUUAGAUACCCUGGUAGUCCACACGGUAAACGAUGAAUACUCGCUGUUUGCGAUAUACGGCAAGCGGCCAAGCGAAAGCGUUAAGUAUUCCACCUGAGGAGUACGCCGGCAACGGUGAAACUCAAAGGAAUUGACGGGGGCCCGCACAAGCGGAGGAACAUGUGGUUUAAUUCGAUGAUACGCGAGGAACCUUACCCGGGCUUAAAUUGCAGAUGAAUUACGGUGAAAGCCGUAAGCCGCAAGGCAUCUGUGAAGGUGCUGCAUGGUUGUCGUCAGCUCGUGCCGUGAGGUGUCGGCUUAAGUGCCAUAACGAGCGCAACCCUUGUUGUCAGUUACUAACAGGUUCCGCUGAGGACUCUGACAAGACUGCCAUCGUAAGAUGUGAGGAAGGUGGGGAUGACGUCAAAUCAGCACGGCCCUUACGUCCGGGGCUACACACGUGUUACAAUGGGGGGUACAGAGGGCCGCUACCACGCGAGUGGAUGCCAAUCCCCAAAACCUCUCUCAGUUCGGACUGGAGUCUGCAACCCGACUCCACGAAGCUGGAUUCGCUAGUAAUCGCGCAUCAGCCACGGCGCGGUGAAUACGUUCCCGGGCCUUGUACACACCGCCCGUCAAGCCAUGGGAGCCGGGGGAACCUGAAGUGCGUAACCGCGAGGAGCGCCCUAGGGAA